UCUGAUUUUCGUCCCGUGAGAACACGUAUCCCGCGUGACACGUUGCCAAUUACGAACAUCCUCCGCUCUCGAGGCGUACGCAGACCGUAAAUAACACAGUAUUUCCAGUUAGAACGUGUAACCAGCGCGAACUACUUUUUUUUCCUCUCUCCAACGAUCUCGCCGCCUUGGAAACUUAUCGUUCAACUUAUCUCGCGAUCGAUCCUGCGAUAAUCGCGCGAUAAUAUCGUUCCGAGUAUCGCUGAACGUUAGUCGUUCUCGAGAUCGGCGUUCGAAAACUUUUACGCCGAGCAUUUCGCGUUUUACGUGACUCGGUCUUUCAUUUUCUUUUUUUCUUUUUUUUGUUUUUUCUUGUUGUUUACACAUGGUGCGCGUGAUACGUGUUUAUCGCGAGAUGUUGAUGACGCGUUCGAGGACACCGUUCGAGCGAUUGUUGCCCUAACCUCUUCGAUCACACGAGAAAAUACAUGACAUACGUAUAUACGUGUACACGUAUAUCGGUGUGCGUUGUUCUGAUCUCGCAGCGCACGUUAAUCGCGUUAACGUGAUUAGAAUUUGUCCAGCCUUUGUUUAGAGGCGGCCUCUGACUAGAAACGAGAGCGCGUGAUUGAUUCGUACGUGAACGACCGUUAUGUAAAUCCACCGUUAGCCAACGCAUUUGCCGGGGGAAAAUUGAAAUUGAUUGGAAAAAUGCGUUCGUGCUGUUUGAACGAUAUUGAACUUGCACAUCUAUAGCUUGUAUCA
Frieseomelitta varia is the source of this 744-nucleotide long non-coding RNA. RefSeq lists it as uncharacterized. NCBI's taxonomy places the organism in Eukaryota, Metazoa, Arthropoda, Insecta, Hymenoptera, Apidae. The transcript is spliced from 3 exons. The record is from RefSeq and is a predicted model, not a curated record.